UAGGGAAUAUUAGAAAUGGACGAAAGUCUGAUCUAGCAACACCGCGUGUGCGAAGAAGGCCUUCGGGUCGUAAAGCACUUUUUGGAGGGAAUAGGAAGGAAUGUACUUCCAGAAUAAGUCUCGGCUAACUACGCGCCAGCAGCCGCGGUAACACGUAGGAGGCAAACGUUAUCCGGAUUUACUGGGCGUAAAGCGCGUGUAGGUGGUACUGUAAGUAGGGCGUGAAAGCUCCUGGCUCAACUGGGAGAGGCCGUUCUAAACUACAGAACUAGAGGAUGGUAGAGGGAGGUGGAAUUCCAGGUGUAGUGGUGGAAUGCGCAGAUAUCUGGAGGAACACCGGUGGCGAAGGCGGCCUCCUGGACCAUUCCUGACACUCAGACGCGAAAGCUAGGGUAGCAAACGG
RNAcentral lists this ribosomal RNA (403 nucleotides) under uncultured bacterium. RNAcentral's name for it is "bacterial SSU rRNA". It matches the Rfam family "Bacterial small subunit ribosomal RNA", at positions 355 to 775 of the family's 1533-position model. The record is from RNAcentral.